GAUGAACGCUGGCGGCGUGCCUAAUACAUGCAAGUCGAGCGAACAGACGAGGAGCUUGCUCCUCUGACGUUAGCGGCGGACGGGUGAGUAACACGUGGAUAACCUACCUAUAAGACUGGGAUAACUUCGGGAAACCGGAGCUAAUACCGGAUAAUAUAUUGAACCGCAUGGUUCAAUAGUGAAAGACGGUUUUGCUGUCACUUAUAGAUGGAUCCGCGCCGCAUUAGCUCGUUGGUAAGGUAACGGCUUACCAAGGCAACGAUGCGUAGCCGACCUGAGAGGGUGAUCGGCCACACUGGAACUGAGACACGGUCCAGACUCCUACGGGAGGCAGCAGUAGGGAAUCUUCCGCAAUGGGCGAAAGCUUGACGGAGCAACGCCGCGUGAGUGAUGAAGGUCUUCGGAUCGUAAAACUCUGUUAUUAGGGAAGAACAAAUGUGUAAGUAACUAUGCACGUCUUGACGGUACCUAAUCAGAAAGCCACGGCUAACUACGUG
RNAcentral lists this ribosomal RNA (497 nucleotides) under uncultured bacterium. RNAcentral's name for it is "partial 16S ribosomal RNA". It matches the Rfam family "Bacterial small subunit ribosomal RNA", at positions 28 to 507 of the family's 1533-position model. The record is from RNAcentral.